UUAGUGCGUUCACAUACCUUGAGCUAGACACAGCAUGCUGAUUGGUGCAUUUACAAUCCUCCAGCUAGACGUAGUAAGUUCUCCAAGUACCCACCGGACUCAGGAGCCCAGCUGGCUUUGCCUAGUGCAUCCCGGCCGCGGGCGGAGCUGCCCGCCAGUCUCUGGCGCGCUGCCGCACUCCUCAGCCGUUGGGCGGUUGACGGGACCGGGUGCCGCGUAGCAGGAGGUGGCGCCCGUCCCCUCGGGGUGGCGCGCGGGAGCCUGCGGUUGGGGGGCGGGGGGCGGGGGGCAGGGGACGGGGGCGGGGAGGAGGGUGAGGGCUCCAGCAUGGCAGGCUGCAGGUCCCGAGCCCUGCCCCCUUGCCCCGCGGGGAGGUGGCUGAGGCCCAGCGAAAAUUCGAGCGCGGCGCCGGCGGGCCAUCACUGUUGGAGGACCCAGUGCACCCUCCGCAGCUGCUGGCCCGGGUGCUAAGCCUCUCACUGCCCAGGGCCGGCGGCGCCAGCCGACCGCUCAAGAGUGCGGGGCGCGCCGAGCCCGCGCCCACCCGGAAGUCGCGCUGAGCCCGCGCCCACCCGGAAGUCGCGCUGGACCUGCGAGCACCGCAGGCAGCCCAGGUUCCGGCCCGCGCCUCUCCCUCCACACCUCCCCGCCAGCAGAGGGAGCCCGCUCAGGCCUCAGCCAGCACAGAGAGGGGCUCCCACGGUGCAGCUGCGGGCUGAAGGGCUCCUCAAGCGCGGCCAGAGUGGGCUGAGGCCGAGGAGGCGCCGAGAGCCAGCGAGGGAUGCCAGCAAGCUGUCACCUCUCAGAAAUACAGGAAGAACAUCAAUAAUGUUCGAAGUUAUAAAGUAGUAGGUUUCUAUCAAGAGUAAAACAUAAACGAAGUUAUAAAGUAGUAGGUUUCUAUCAAGAAUAAAACAUAAACGAUCAAAGAAUUCCUUAUAAAAACAUUUUUUAUUUCUAGGAAUCAAAACAUAAAUAUAAAAUUUGAGAGUCCACCAAAAAAAAUUAGAUGCCAGAUUUCACUAUAAUUAUCAGGGAAGCGCCCAAAUGGGUUGUUUACGGCGCCUCGGGGAAACUUUCUGUUUCGUGUUAAGGGUCUUGAACCAUGAUGUUUAGAAAACCAUGGGCUGAUGCUUUCAGAACCUCUGUGAUUUUUGCCUCUGACACUGCAUCCAAUAGACUAGCAUGUUGAUUAGGGAAAGCUAAAUUCAAUAAAAGACGACUGUAAGUGGGGUCACCACCUUGAGGGGUCAUGUUAGAAAAGUAGAUGAUAAGGUGGUAUUGAUAGAGUAUUGAAGUCUGGGCUCAAAUGGUUGCCCGGGGCCUUUCAAGACCAAUGACUGAUAAGAAUAGGUAAUGUUCAGGACAUAGAGUUUAGGAUUGGGGGACACUGUGAGUUAAGGGCCAUGACAGAAGUCUUCAUAAGUAAACUGUUAAUUGACACAAGCUGCUACCUGCCCAGGCUGGAAUGCACUUGGAUGCCAGAGAUUUUGAUUUCUUCAUGUGACAUAAGUUGCGGAGGUCAGAGGUCAGAAAACAAGGUGUCUGCAGGACCAACCUCUCCUCUGGAUGCUCUAGGUGUUGAAAUUUCCAGGAUGCAAAACGAAGGGGCAAUUCAAAACAUUCAUCUCCACUUCUCAAAAGUCUUUGAUUACUUGAGAAAAGUGAGUGAGGUGGGGCCAAGAUGGUUGACUAGAAGCAGCUAGUGUGUGCCACUCUCACAAAUAGCAGAAAGAGUGGUGAGACACUAGCUCUUCAACCGGAACAUCCAGGUGGACACAUAAGGAUUCAUCAGUGACAUAGUGUGACCUUCGGAUCACGGAGAAGAGUGAGACAGAUCAGCCAUUCACCCAGGAGUGGCACAGACCCAGGGGAAUCCCCCUACAAGAAAAUGGUGAGUGAGUGAGAGUCCCGUGGGAUGCAUAUUUCUGCCACGAACCUUUGAAUCCCUGGGCUCAGGAGAUACCCCAGCUGGGGUCUCCAGACCAAAACAGAGAGCCAUGUGGAGUCUGGGUAGAGCUGCUUCUUAGGUAGGUGUGGAGUCCCAGUAGCAUUUGUUCCCUGGGUACCCCAAAACCAGGGGCUGCAGCUCCAGCAAUUGGGAAGGCCAAGUUUUCUUGCACGCUCCCCAGAAAAGGGGCCAAGUCCAUGGGGCUGAGCAGUGAUAGACUGCAGACCUCACCACCACUGAACCUUGUAGGAUAAGGCCCACUAGCCUGGGAUGCUAGUGAGGCCACCCUAGUCCUCCUGAGUUCUCCAGCUGGGAGCAGCUCUACACUUCUCCGGCAUGCAGCUCCCAAAGAGAGAGGCAGUCCACCUUUUUGCUGUCUCGCAACCCUCCCUCCUGCUGCUCUCAGGCUUGGGAGGGUGCACAGCAAUUAGGGACUAUCACAGAACCCCAGCACAGUGCAUCUGGUGAACUUAAAAAAAUCAACAAGUGAAAAACAAACAAUCCCAUUUAAACGUACACAAAGUACAUGAACGGACACUUUCAAAGGAGGGCAUACAUGUGGCCAGAAAGCAUAUGACAAAAUGCUCAACAUCACUAAUCAUUAGAGAAAUGCAAAUCAAAACCACAAUGAGAUACCA
This is a long non-coding RNA of Homo sapiens (human), 2589 nucleotides long. RefSeq lists it as uncharacterized. NCBI's taxonomy places the organism in Eukaryota, Metazoa, Chordata, Mammalia, Primates, Hominidae. The transcript has 5 exons. The record is from RefSeq and is a predicted model, not a curated record.